AUGAACGCUGGCGGCGCGCCUAAUACAUGCAAGUCGAGCGAGAAGACGUAGCAAUACGUUUGUAAAGCGGCGAACGGGUGAGGAAUACAUGGGUAACCUACCCUAGAGUGGGGAAUAACUAGCCGAAAGGUUAGCUAAUACCGCGUACGCUCCUUGGACUUCGGUUCAGGGAGGAAAGCGAUACCGAGGGUAUCGCGCUCUUGGAUGGGCUCAUGUCCUAUCAGCUUGUUGGUGAGGUAACGGCUCACCAAGGCUUCGACGGGUAGCUGGUCUGAGAGGACGAUCAGCCACACUGGCACUGCGACACGGGCCAGACUCCUACGGGAGGCAGCAGUAAGGAAUAUUGCGCAAUGGGCGAAAGCCUGACGCAGCGACGCCGCGUGGGGGAUGAAGGUCUUCGGAUU
Molecule: ribosomal RNA, 404 nt
Filed under: uncultured bacterium
Lineage: Bacteria
Description: bacterial SSU rRNA
Rfam family: Bacterial small subunit ribosomal RNA
Source: RNAcentral